GAACGCACAUUGCGCCCGCCAGUAUUCUGGCGGGCAUGCCUGUUCGAGCGUCAUUUCAACCCUCGAGCCCCCCCGGGGGCCCGGUGUUGGGGGACGGCCCCGCCCCGCCAGUGGGUGGUCGGCCGCCCCCGAAAUGCAGUGGCGACCCCGCCGCAGCCUCCCCUGCGUAGUAGCUAUCAUUGAAACCUCGCACCGGAGCGCGGCGCGGCUCUGCCGUUAAACCCCAACUCUUUGAAAGGUUGACCUCGGAUCAGGUAGGAAUACCCGCUGAACUUAAG
This 278-nucleotide unclassified non-coding RNA is filed under the name Hypomyces armeniacus. RNAcentral's name for it is "sequence contains 5.8S rRNA gene". The stretch from base 1 to 53 matches the Rfam family "5.8S ribosomal RNA", at positions 102 to 154 of the family's 154-position model. Lineage: Eukaryota; Fungi; Ascomycota; Sordariomycetes; Hypocreales; Hypocreaceae. The record is from RNAcentral.